GCCCGGCUAGCUCAAUCGGUAGAGCGUGAGACUCUUAAUCUCAAGGUUGUGGGUUCGACCCCCACGUCGGGCA
RNAcentral lists this transfer RNA (73 nucleotides) under Sordaria macrospora k-hell. It matches the Rfam family "tRNA". Rfam says of the family: Transfer RNA (tRNA) molecules are approximately 80 nucleotides in length. Their secondary structure includes four short double-helical elements and three loops (D, anti-codon, and T loops). Further hydrogen bonds mediate the characteristic L-shaped molecular structure. tRNAs have two regions of fundamental functional importance: the anti-codon, which is responsible for specific mRNA codon recognition, and the 3' end, to which the tRNAs corresponding amino acid is attached (by aminoacyl-tRNA synthetases). tRNAs cope with the degeneracy of the genetic code in two manners: having more than one tRNA (with a specific anti-codon) for a particular amino acid; and 'wobble' base-pairing, i.e. permitting non-standard base-pairing at the 3rd anti-codon position. Lineage: Eukaryota; Fungi; Ascomycota; Sordariomycetes; Sordariales; Sordariaceae. The record is from Rfam by way of RNAcentral.